This is a long non-coding RNA of Epinephelus moara (kelp grouper), 770 nucleotides long. RefSeq lists it as uncharacterized. The record is from RefSeq and is a predicted model, not a curated record. The transcript is spliced from 3 exons. Lineage: Eukaryota; Metazoa; Chordata; Actinopteri; Perciformes; Serranidae.
GUAUCUUUGAGCAGUGAAAGUUGUUAUUUAUUUCUUUUUACUUGUCGGCAGUGAUUUGUUUUCCACAGAGCUCUACGUGCGAGCAUUUUACUUGCAUUUGCGACUAAAAAUAGUUUUGUGCCAGCAAAAUAAAUCAUUCAGCACGCUGUGCGAGUACAGAUUUCAACCAGCAGUAGAAACGAAAGGCGAAUUUUGCCAAUUAUGGGUUGAACGGGGGUCACAGACAGGAAUGCGGCGGUCAAAUAGCCUACGGCGGCUCCGCGGUGCAAGAUAACGGCUUACCGGCGACAGAGAAGUCCGACUCCAGGUCCAGUAAUUUCCUCUUUCGUUGACGUCAUGACUGCCGUGGCGGCACACAGGUAUCUCAAGAAGGCCUCGAGGAAAUGUUCUCAAAUUUGGGACAAACGUCCACGCGGACUCAAGAAUACAAAGAAGUUUAAAUAAAGAAGAAGAAGAAGAAGAAGAAGUAGAAGAUGUGAGAGCAGUACUGAGAAGAUGUUGAAGAAUAGAUGAUCAUAUUUAUUUGUUAAUUUGAAUACAAUCACAUUGUUACAGCAUUACUGAUUUGUGCACACUGACAUUAACAUCUUAAAAAUGUUAAACUUUAACCUCCUAAAGAAUAAAUUUUCAAAAUAUACAUGAACUGGUCAUUCACCAGAACAAGGUACCUCACUCCUUGGGGGUCCCAAGAAGGGAGGUCCCUCAUCUUUUCAGGGUCCUCUGGAAGGAAGCAGCUCACCCCCUUUAGGGUCCCCAGAAAGGAGGUGCCU